UUAAAAUCUGUAGCCACACACCUUCAAGCAGCAGUUCCGAACUCCCCACCAACCGGCAACCAUGGUAACUCUUCAUCCAAUCUGUAUUUGUGACUGUAUUUUAUGUGUUGCAUAUUUCAGGCGGACGUGGAAGCCGAGGUCAGGUGCCGAAAAAGAGAACGUUCAAGAAGUUUAGCUUCCACCGAUGACCUCGUCAAGCUCCUCAGUGCCCGAGCCCGAAGACGAUUCCAGAGAGGUUUGAAGAGGAAGCCCAUGGCCUUGAUUAAGAAGCUGCAAACGUGAAGCCCCAGCGCCUUAGUCAGGACCCACGUGAGGAACAUGAUCAUCGUUCCUGAGAUGAUAGGAAGUGUUUUGGGAGUGUACAACGGAAAGACCUCUACCUCGCUGAGUUCUCUAUCUCGUACAAACCCAGUCAAGCACGGUAGGCCUGGUAUUGGUGCCCCACCCACUCCUCACGAUUCAUUCCUGUCAAGUAUAAGUUGUGUGUGGUGAUAGUCUACCAGACUCAGUGUGCUUGUGUGCAUUGGCUAGGCUAGCUCUAUUUGGGACUAUUUCCUACGUGCUGGAAAGGGAAAAUGUUGAGUUUCCCAAGUUUUGUUGUUGUGAUACUGUUUAGUUCUGCUACAAAUUUAGUGAAAGACAACUUCAUCUUCA
This is a long non-coding RNA of Salvia splendens (bonfire salvia), 654 nucleotides long. RefSeq lists it as uncharacterized. The transcript has 3 exons. NCBI's taxonomy places the organism in Eukaryota, Viridiplantae, Streptophyta, Magnoliopsida, Lamiales, Lamiaceae. The record is from RefSeq and is a predicted model, not a curated record.